CUGCUGCCUCCCGUAGGAGUCUGGGCCGUGUCUCAGUCCCAAUGUGGCCGUCCACUCUCUCAAGCCGGCUACUGAUCGUCGCCUUGGUGAGCCGUUACCUCACCAACCAGCUAAUCAGACGCGGGUCCAUCCCAUAGCGAUAAAUCUUUGAAGAAAAGAACAUGCGCUCUCUCCUUGUUAUGCGGUAUUAGCAGCCGUUUCCAGCUGUUGUCCCCCUCUAUGGGGCAGGUUGCCCCACGCGUUA
This 244-nucleotide ribosomal RNA is filed under the name uncultured bacterium. RNAcentral describes it as "partial 16S ribosomal RNA". The record is from RNAcentral.